RNA transcript from Lates calcarifer (barramundi perch), 2522 nucleotides. RefSeq lists it as uncharacterized. NCBI's taxonomy places the organism in Eukaryota, Metazoa, Chordata, Actinopteri, Centropomidae. The transcript has 6 exons. The record is from RefSeq and is a predicted model, not a curated record.
CAAUUACGUCAGAGGAGUGAGCCAUCUUUCUACUUUCUACUCUUUGAUACACCACGUGAGGAUACAAAGCCGUACAAUUGGAUAUUGGCACAUCAUGUGAUGGUGCAUGAUUGUCUGAUUGGACACUGAAUUUGCCAACGAGCUGAAGCGCUUCCAUGUUGCCGGAAAACAACACCAGCGGCAUUUUCGGAAAGGCUGAAGUCUCCUCUUUUCAACAAAAAAACAAGCAAGUUAUUAUAUUGAGCCGUUCCGGAGAUAUUCGCUGUUAUGUAACGCUUGUCCCUCGGGAUCGUAUACGAUGCCGUAGACUCCGAAGAGGCCCGCCAACCAGUGAUAGCGGCAGAGAUGCGCGUGCGCGCACACACAGGAGAAAGAGUAGCAAAGUAACGGUCACACAGUUGAAACUACGCGGCGGUUUUGCACGGCGGGCCAGUUUAGCUUUUUUCGUCUGUGAGGAUAAAUUUCUGAUGGCACAACGCGACUAAAGAGCACGGUGAUCCAAAUCUGUGUGGACCACAGAGAACCAUUGAGAACUACAAUUCUGCUGUUGAUCGCCUCCAGAGUGAAGGAACAUCACCAGAUGUGGAAGGAGUAAAGUAUAAAUCGAAAUGGAUGAUGCAGAGCAAAUCAACAUAGGCAGUGCCAUCACAAGGGUGUUACCAGACCUCCCAGCCUCAAUCUUGGAUAUUUUAGUGGAAACACUCCAAUCACUGGGGGUAGAGACCACUGAGGAUUUACACUUCAUUCAGGAAGCUGAUCUGCUUACUACGCUGAGACCAAUUCAAGCAAGAAGAUUGGUAGCUGCCUGGAAACAAACCACACAAACCAGUGAAGGCCAUAGCCAGUCAGUGUUGUCCUCUCCAUCUUCUUCAACAUGCUCUUCAGUCAGUCUCUCUCCAUCCUCCACCCAUUGGAUUACUGCUGCAGACUGGGUUGACAACUUCCAGAUCCCAUGGAUGAAGUUUCCUGAAGGUUUGAUGCAGUGUUUAGAGAGGGGGGAAAGGCCAAAUCCACGGCUACGCAGAGAGAUGGUCCGGAUUGUUGUUACUGAAAUGAUGAAAGCCUGUGCCUCUCCCAGUACAAAAGCCUCUACAGAAGUUGCCAAAAAAAUGAUUGCAAAGUAUCCACAGUCACUGAAAGAUGUGAUAGCAGGUGAUGUGGUUGGACUAGGAUACUACUCACUAGUCAAGCAGUUACAAGCGAGAAUUGAAAAUGUGAAGCGGUCUUCAGCACCAAGGAUAAAGAAGCGCAAACAGGAUUCAGAUCAGUAUGACACAGAUGAAAUCCCAGGUGAACAAAGGGCAGCUAUGCAGGACCUAUGGUUGCAUAAAGUGGGAAAUGGAAUAUAUGCCAGUGAGUGAGACACCAGAAAGCCAACAGGAGAAGAAAGACAAAAUGAAAGCACUCAGUGAACAGACUAACUUCAGCCCAGGUGAAAUAGAAACUCUUAUGAAGUGUACCUACUACAGCCAACGUAAAGACAUAAACAAGGGAACAGAUCUGCAAUCCCUCAUGGAGGGGUGGCCAUUUUUGUUCAAGGAGAUUGGCAUGACAGUCCACUUCCAAGAGCUCACUGGGAUAUCGCUGAAAGAGACUUUCCUCACCAAUGUAGAAAAAAAGGGAAAACGGCUUCUGGACUUCAUGAGAAACAGUUGUGCAGACAAGAGCAGAAGAGUUCUUCAGGCUGCCACAAAGCUGGAAAUUCUGAGAGGACAGUUGGAGGGCUGCUCAGAAGAUGUCAAGGAUAUGGUGCUCCUUCUUCUCUCCUACUUUGAUGAAAAAGAGGAGAACCUCUUCCACUACGUUGAGCAAACAUGUCUGGCAAAAGAAGUACACGUGGAAAGUUUGCCUGUGACGCCAUGCAUCAUUGUAUGUGGAACGUCAUGCUAUGCCGCAAGACAGUUCAUGCUGAGUGUAGAUUGCAAAGUUGUGAAUGACCACAUCCCCGACUUCAUCUCUGCCAUCUGUUUGAUGUUUGGAACCUACUACUGCCUCAAUAUCCAUUACCCCGUGAGUCUGGGCUCCACACUUGAGUUCCUUCAGAGGUGUUUCUUCAUGAUCAAUCCUGAGAGGGGCACAAAAGUUGAAACAAAGAAGAACAAGAAACAGCUGUCGGUGAACCCAAGAGUCCUCACUCUCAUCACAAAUCUCGCUGACCAGGAUUGGAGAGGGACAUGUUAAAGAUGGACCUGUCCAGCUGAACUGUUCAAGUCUGACCUCCUCCACAGCAUAACGUAAUUAAUUAACCUGUGUAUUAUUGUGUUGAUUAUUUGAUUAUUGAUUGGUUUGGUUCAUAAAAUGUCAGAAAUGGUGAAAAUGUGGAUCACUGUUUUCAAUGUCUCUGGGGACUCUUUCAGUUACUUUAAACUGCGGUGUGUUUUCUAGCUGGCCUUCUUUUUUUUGUUACUAGAAGCAACUUUCCAGAGAGGACAGACGAUGAAAAGAGAUGUGGUAACUGAACAUCAGUGACUUCAUUAAAGUUUGAGUUGUGUUUUCUAGAUUUGACUUGGGUUUUUUUUUUU